Molecule: ribosomal RNA, 468 nt
Filed under: uncultured bacterium
Lineage: Bacteria
Description: partial 16S ribosomal RNA
Rfam family: Bacterial small subunit ribosomal RNA
Source: RNAcentral
GACGAACGCUGGCGGCGUGCUUAACACAUGCAAGUCGAACGGAAAGGCACUGCUUUUGUGGGGUGCCCGAGUGGCGAAGGGGUGAGUAACACGUGAGUAACCUGACCUUGACUUUGGGAUAACUUCAGGAAACUGGGGCUAAUACAGGAUAGGAGAUCCUGCUGCAUGGUGGGGGUUGGAAAGUUUCGGCGGGUGGGGAUGGACUCGCGGCUUAUGAGCUUGUUGGUGGGGGAGUGGCUUACCGAGGCUGUGACGGGUAGCCGGCCUGGGAGGGUGACCGGCGUCAAGACGACUGAGGGACGGAGCAGUCGCCAACAUUAGACAGUGGGGGGAAGUAUGGCACAAUGGGCGGAAGCCUGAGGCGGCGGCCCCGCGUGCGUAAAGACCUCCUUCUGGGUGUAAACCGCUGUCGCCUAUUACGAAGCUGUAGUGACGGUAAUGAGUGAAUAAGCACCGGCUAACUACGUG